This 468-nucleotide ribosomal RNA is filed under the name uncultured bacterium. Its description in RNAcentral is "partial 16S ribosomal RNA". It matches the Rfam family "Bacterial small subunit ribosomal RNA", at positions 28 to 507 of the family's 1533-position model. The record is from RNAcentral.
GACGAACGCUGGCGGCGUGCUUAACACAUGCAAGUCGAACGGAAAGGCCCUGCUUUGGUGGGGUUCUCGAGUGGCGAACGGGUGAGUAACACGUGAGUAACCUGCCCUUGGCUGUGGGAUGACUUCAGGAAACUGGGGCUAAUACCGGAUAGGAGCUCCGGCGGCAGGGUGGGGGUUGGAAAGUUUGGGCGGUUGGGGAUGGACUCGCGGCUUAUCAGCUUGUUGGUGGGGUAGUGGCUUACCAAGGCUUUGACGGGUAGCCGGCCUGAGAGGGUGACCGGCCACAUUGGGACUGAGAUACGGCCCAGACUCCUACGGGAGGCAGCAGUGGGGAAUAUUGCACAAUGGGCGGAAGCCUGAUGCAGCAACGCCGCGUGCGGGAUGACGGCCUUCGGGUUGUAAACCGCUUUCGCCUGUGACGAAGCGUGAGUGACGGUAAUGGGUAAAGAAGCACCGGCUAACUACGUG